AUGGUUUCAUGUUUCCACUUUUCUUCGUAUCCCACUGUCCCACUGCAUCCCAAGUUGCUACUUGUUUGAUAGGCUCAUUUUUUUUUCCUUUUUUUUUUUUUUUUCCUUUUAUGAAUCUGGUGGUGUCAUUUUCAUUUUUACGCUGGAAGCCUGUUUCACUGCGUUUCUGGCAAACCCCAUUGGUUAAACUUGUUUUACCACAUCAUGAUCUUUUUUAUAGCUCACAUCUGCCAGGAAAAGUUUGUCAUUCAUCAUCUUCCUUUCUGCUGUGUUCAUUUUCAGCUGUGCAUGAAAUGUGCUUGUAUUUCCAAAGCAAUGCAAAGCUUUCUGCUCCGGGGCCAGGGUGGAAGGAAUAGGCAGUGGGCAGUCUCUGCGCCAUGGCAUGUAAGUUGUGCUCAGAAGUGGGGAAGAAGAGAAAAAAAUGAUCCUGAGCAUAAACAAAGUAGGCUGUGGGACUCGGACUCCCCUUCCCAGCGGCAUCCCUUCAAGAGACUACUGCCCCAGGCAACUCCAGCUUUGCCUGUGUCUACAGCUGGCUCGUUCCCGGUGGAGAGGAGCUUUCCCCAGAAGCAGUCCCAUGGUGUAUGCAACAUUUCAGGGCUGCAUGCUUCCUCCAUUUUCGUAUUACUCAUCCUGUUACGGGUGAGAGUCGUGUUGAUGCCAGCAACCGUGUUUAAACAUGGGACAGCACUGAAGUACAGCUGUGUUUUGGUCACUGGGUUUCUAUACCUACCUUGCACAGAGUGCCCAUGCCCUGGAAAGCAGCAGCUCCUGAGGCACUCGUGGGGGCAGGCUGAUGUGCCCCAGCAGCCGUUUCUGCUCAGCAGGACGCCUCUUUCAAGUGUCCCUUGCAGGGCAGGCUGGCACCCCCAGCUCUCCUCCUUCCAGGGUCUCCUGCUCAGCCACGACCAGCCCAGACAUUGUGAACACCAUGGGACCAGCUCCCUCUGA
Molecule: long non-coding RNA, 951 nt
Filed under: Anser cygnoides (Swan goose)
Lineage: Eukaryota; Metazoa; Chordata; Aves; Anseriformes; Anatidae
Description: lncRNA (ENSACDG00005009224.1)
Source: RNAcentral